GUUCUUUUAUAAAUAUUUUUUUCAAUCUUGGUGGCAAAGGCAAUCCUCUUAAAUCGGGUGAGAAUUAGCCCAACUUUUGCUUCCAAGCAGACUGGAAUAACUCCAAUAUUUUUGCUAAGUGUUUCAAUUUGAAUUUGGUGAAUAUUUUCUUUGUAACAAGAAGUGCAGAGCCUCAAACACAAGGCAGCGUUUUCACAAUUAUAAUCAGUUUUAAAUUCAGGACUGUACAAAUUAAUACCCAGAAUAUUUUUUUCUUUUCAUUCAUGCACAUAUUCAUUCAUUCAUUAAAUGAGUGCUUGCUUAACAUCUACAGCACCAGAUGCUACAGUAGAGGCCCAGGAGACAGCAGGGAAUAGGACAGGACCCUUACCUUCUAGUUGGGAAAACAAACCAACCCCGAAAUUGCAAACUGUGAUGUGCCCUGCCUGAAGGAAAGAACAGCAUAAUUCUGUGGAAAGGAUGGGACAGGAAGUAACAUUUGAGCUGAGACCAGGAGACUGGGGAUGAACUGCCACAGAAAUUACUGGAGACACGGGAGAACUUUAGGUCUUUCAUAUGAACUGAGAAGAUAAAUCUAUGGAGACAGAGGUCAGAAGAGUGGUUCCCUGGGGAGGGUACUGUCUGGGAAGACAUGAGUGAGCUUUCAGGUGAGCUGGAAAUAGUCUAGAUCUUGAAUUGGGUGAUUAUGUGUAAAGAUGGAUUGAGCUGGGCGCCUGAGGCAUGUGCACCUUCCUAUGUGAAUGUU
RNAcentral lists this long non-coding RNA (745 nucleotides) under Marmota monax (woodchuck). The record is from RNAcentral. Lineage: Eukaryota; Metazoa; Chordata; Mammalia; Rodentia; Sciuridae.